Molecule: ribosomal RNA, 575 nt
Filed under: uncultured bacterium
Lineage: Bacteria
Description: bacterial SSU rRNA
Rfam family: Bacterial small subunit ribosomal RNA
Source: RNAcentral
AACAGCUUGCUGUUUCGCUGACGAGUGGCGGACGGGUGAGUAAUGUCUGGGAAACUGCCUGAUGGAGGGGGAUAACUACUGGAAACGGUAGCUAAUACCGCAUAACGUCGCAAGACCAAAGAGGGGGACCUUCGGGCCUCUUGCCAUCAGGUGUGCCCAGAUGGGAUUAGCUAGUAGGUGGGGUAACGGCUCACCUAGGCGACGAUCCCUAGCUGGUCUGAGAGGAUGACUAGCCACACUGGAACUGAGACACGGUCCAGACUCCUACGGGAGGCAGCAGUGGGGAAUAUUGCACAAUGGGCGCAAGCCUGAUGCAGCCAUGCCGCGUGUAUGAAGAAGGCCUUCGGGUUGUAAAGUACUUUCAGCGGGGAGGAAGGGAGUAAAGUUAAUACCUUUGCUCAUUGACGUUACCCGCAGAAGAAGCACCGGCUAACUCCGUGCCAGCAGCCGCGGUAAUACGGAGGGUGCAAGCGUUAAUCGGAAUUACUGGGCGUAAAGCGCACGCAGGCGGUUUGUUAAGUCAGAUGUGAAAUCCCCGGGCUCAACCUGGGAACUGCAUCUGAUACUGGCAAGCU